GUAAUGCCGUUGAUGGGUUUAAAUAUACUUUGAGUAAUCUGAUUACCAUGAAAAGUAUCUAAUCUGAGGCAUUUC
This is a small nucleolar RNA of Dioscorea cayenensis subsp. rotundata (Guinea yam), 75 nucleotides long. NCBI's taxonomy places the organism in Eukaryota, Viridiplantae, Streptophyta, Magnoliopsida, Dioscoreales, Dioscoreaceae. The record is from RefSeq and is a predicted model, not a curated record.